This is a long non-coding RNA of Chinchilla lanigera (long-tailed chinchilla), 3630 nucleotides long. NCBI's taxonomy places the organism in Eukaryota, Metazoa, Chordata, Mammalia, Rodentia, Chinchillidae. The record is from Ensembl.
AUGACAAUUCCUGGUGUGUUUCAGUACCCUCAUCUACUCAAAGAGCAAGUCACACAGUUUCAUUCAGAAGCCAGCAAUGAGAGGAAUUCACAGCAGUGGAGAAUGUGUCCUGUGCUUUCCCACACUCCCAGGAGAUGGAUAAUGAAUUCUCAACAUGCUGUGGAGCUGGAUCGCUACUCAAAGAUGCAGCAACCUUUGUCGAAGGGCUCUUCCUUGCCCUUUGUGGCUCUCCAGCAUGGCAAAGGUGUGGCCAGUAACAAAUGAAAUGUGGGCCAGUGUGUCAUUUCCUGAUUUUCUUUCAAAUUGAGGCCACAAUGUAGAAAGAGACAGCUUGCUUAGCCUACUUGUUACUUAUUAAUCCAAACUGUUUCUUACUGCUUUCUGCUUGUGGCCCAGCAUCCUGACACAGCUCAGGGUGUAGAGUUCAGCAUAGCCUGGUCAUAGCACUGAGCAGGCAUAGGUGGGGCCAGAGGAGCCUACAGGAUGUUGUGGUGAUGCAGAAUGGCUUCCAGAGUGAUCCAGAUCCACCUCCAAGCUGGGUCUCCAAGAAACACCCAUCACUUGGCCAGGGCAUGACACUGAGCUGGAACUGAACAUGAGUUAAUGAGUGAGGGGAUGAAUGACUAGAGUGGGGAGCCUGUCUCUGCACAUGACCUAAACAGGGAAAGCCCUUCUGAGGAGGUGUAUUAGUUAGGGUUCUCUAGAGGAACAAAUUGAUCUAUCAUCUAUCAUAUUUAUCUAUCUGUCUGUCUAUCUAUCUAUCUAUCUAUCUCUUUAUAGGAUAUAAAGGAUUUAUUGGGUAGGCUUAUAGUGGCUGCCUGUGGAACCAGAGGUGGAAGAAGACAACAUGGCCAUCUGUGUGCUGGAGAGUUAGAGAAUCCAGGCAAAGGCUGAAGUCCUGCUGAUCCCUGCAGAGUGUGGGAUAAGUAUGUGCUGGAAGGCUGAGAGUCAGUGCUGGCAGUCUAAAACAACUGGAGAGAAACAUCCAAGGUGGUGGCAAAGAGCUCCCCCAAAGAAGCAAAGGAAAAACUUUCUUCUUUACUUUUUUUUAUCCCAUCUAGGCUGCAAGCCUGUUAUGGUUUGUAUCUAGAUGUUUUCCCCUCCCAAAGCCUCAUGUGGUCACAGGUGGGGCUUUUUAGAGGUGGCUGGAGCUAUAGUAUAUGAUGCUGGGAUCAAGGAUAUGAUGCUGGGAUUGAUUCAGGUUGUGAUGCUAGGAUUAAGGCUGCCUCACCUCGGAUGUGAGAGUUACCUGCCCUAAGGGUGGGCAGCCUGGAUAGGAUAUAAGGGGAAUAAAAGAGUGUCACUGUUUGCCACUUGUUGCUGGCUACUUUUUCACUGCUUUGCUGCCUCUUGGCUGUUAAGAACUGUUUCUGCUUUGUGGUACCCUUCUGCCAUGUCACUGUGCCUUGGAGCCAACGAACAAUGAAAUAAAACCUAUACAAACUGAGCUAAAUAAACCUUUCCUCCUUUAACUUUGAAUGUUGGAUAUUUUCUCUUAGCAAGAAGAAAAGUACUAAGAUAAAGCCUAUUGGUUGGUACCACCCACUCCAGGGUGGGUCUUCCCUUCUCUGUUUGUAGCCUACAUGUCCAUCAUCCAUGAACACCCCAGAAUUUUAUUAAUCUUCAAGAUGGUUCUUACUCAAGUAAGGUUGACAUAUCACAGUAAUGAUCACAGGAGGUGAGUCCUAAUAGGACCAGUUUUCUGGCUUCCAUAAACUGGAAACCCUCACACCUACCUCACAAGGGUUCUGCACAGGUGGUUACAUGCCUGUCACCUGCUUUGCCAGCCUGCUUCCCUGUCACUGCCCUCACUCCUUUUAGGAGGAAUUUUCCUCCCACAGUAGGGAACUUUUUGAGUACAAAACAAGAAACCCAGAGUCUUGUCUUAAUCCUCUGGAAAGUCUGUGAGAAUUAUGAGGUUUAAAACAUUAGUAGGAGCGAGGCUUCAGGCUGGAUUGUAAUCACUGAUGUUGUAGGCAGAGUCUCAUCAUGGUUUUAUCUCAACUUCUCCCUCAGCUAGAUGUUGUCAUCUUGGGCCUCUCUUUGUGAGAGUUAAUGUCCACUGAUACUUAUGGGUGGCUGUAGGUCCAGAGCCCUUCACUACCUCAGUUAUGCCUUUUUGAAUCACUUAAAAUUUUGCCCUUUUGCCCUCCAUAACUGGAGAAUAAAUGGGGAUCCUUCUGGGUUUUCCUUCACUGUCUUCCAAGAUCUGCUGUUUCUUGGGGUUCUGUCUUCUCUCUUGUGUCUUCCUUGGCUUGCAUAUGUUGUCUGUUCUGAGGAACACAUUUUGUCAUGCCUGGGGAAUGGGAGGAAAUGGGAGGUUAGUCAGUGAGAUUUUCUACAUGGGAAAUUCUUCUAAUUCCACAUUCAUCGUAGAUUGAAAAUUAGUUAAAUAUAUAUGUUGGGUUGGAAAGUAUUUUUAGCAGAUGUUUCCCCCUAGAAAUUUGAUGGCCUUGCUCAUUUCUGUUUAAGCUCCAUUUCUCUGUUGCUGAUGAAUAUAUGAAGCCACUGUGAUACUUAAUUGAUUCAUGUAACAUGUAUUUCUCCUCUGGGGGCUAGUGUUAUUUAAUCUCUAUCUUAGUGUUGUAAUAUUCAAAGUGAUUUCCCUCAGUUUGAGUCUUGCCUUAGUCCCUUUUCUCAUCACAGGAACACAAUACUCAACACCCAUAAAUUAAAGAAGCAGAGCUUUAUUUUGGCUCACAUGUACAGCCCACAGUUGGCUGGCUCCAAGGCAGGAUGACAUGGCAGGAGAGAGGUUGCUCAUAUCGGGACUAGGAAGCAGAGAGACAAUGAAGGGAGGAUCUGGGGAUGGAGAUGAACCCUUCCAGGCCACACCCCCAGUGACCCUCCUCUUCUGACCUUAUCCUUACAGCAAAUCAGCUACAAGCCCCGUAAUCUAGUCACCUCCCUCAAGUCCUGUCUGUGAGCACAUAGGCUCGCGGGACAUCUAAACAGUAAGUUUGCACUGAAAAUAUGAUGGAUCCUUUUCAUCCAGAAAUUUCUCUCAGACUUGGGAAAUUUCCCAAUAUUAUUUCAUUGAUUCUUUCCUUAAUUCUUUCCUCCACCAUGUUCUGUGUGAGGAAUACUGUUAUCUGUUCAUUGGACCAAUUCUCAGAAUCUAUUCCACUUUCUGGGAGAUUUCUUCAUUCUACUUCCAAAUCUUCAGUUGAGGUUUCCACAAAAACUGUCCUGGGAAUGUAACUGAGGGGCUCUUACUUGUACAGUACUGAGUGUGGACGGUUCACACAGGAUAAUCUGGCCAGGAAGAGAACACUGGGUGCCUAAGAGAAAAGACAAAACCUGCUAACCAGGCACAAAUUUGGAUUCUGCAGAUGAAUUUCACCUAGUUCCCUUUCCCAUAAAUUACAGAUGGAUAAAACAGGAGUUCAUAUAAAUGUCAAGUUCUAUGAACUGAUUAAGAGGAGUUACUUUCUCUGAAAGGGAAGAGACACAGAAAUUGUUACAAAGUUUUGAUUUAAACAUGGAAUUGUCACAGUCCUGUAAUCUACAUUCACAGCAUCCAGGACAUCCUGCCCAAGGGUAAGGUGUCAGCAGGAUCAGUCCCGUUUGAGGGGUGAGAGAGAAACUGACCAGGCCUCCCUCCCUCCUUGUCAUGUGCUGGUAGUCUUA